AACCAACAUUGAACAUAAGCGACAGCUUGAUUCAGUCAGAGUGAAGAGGGCCGGCAAAUGUGGUGCCAGCCGCCGCGGUUAUACCACACGACCCAAGUUGACCUUGCAGCGGCGUAAAGCGUGAUUAAAGUUACCCUGCCACUAUAGUUAAACUAAAAAUUAGCUGUAUAAUGCUCUUUACCUAGUAUACCCAAAAACGAAAGUUACUAUAUACAAAACAACUUGAAUUCACUACAGUUAGGGCACAAACUAGGAUUAGAUACCCUACUAUGCCUAACCAUAAACCUUCAACCUACACUAACAUCGCCAGGUAACUACGAGCAAAGCUUAAAACCCAAAGGACUUGACGGUCCCCCACAUCCCCCUAGAGGA
This 372-nucleotide ribosomal RNA is filed under the name Hyloscirtus mashpi (Mashpi stream treefrog). Its description in RNAcentral is "partial 12S ribosomal RNA". It matches the Rfam family "Bacterial small subunit ribosomal RNA", at positions 445 to 939 of the family's 1533-position model. The record is from RNAcentral. Lineage: Eukaryota; Metazoa; Chordata; Amphibia; Anura; Hylidae.